GACGAACGCUGGCGGCGUGCUUAACACAUGCAAGUCGAACGGAAAGGCCCUGCUUUUGUGGGGUGCUCGAGUGGCGAACGGGUGAGUAACACGUGAGUAACCUGCCCUUGACUUUGGGAUAACUUCAGGAAACUGGGGCUAAUACCGGAUAGGAGCUCCUGCUGCAUGGUGGGGGUUGGAAAGUUUCGGCGGUUGGGGAUGGACUCGCGGCUUAUCAGCUUGUUGGUGGGGUAGUGGCUUACCAAGGCUUUGACGGGUAGCCGGCAUGAGAGGGUGACCGGCCACAUUGGGACUGAGAUACGGCCCAGAAUCCUACGGGAGGAAGCAGUGGGGAAUAUUGAACAAUGGGCGGAAGCCUGAUGCAGCAACGCCGCGUGCGGGAUGACGGCCUUCGGGUUGUAAACCGAUUUCGCCUGUGACGAAGCGUGAGUGACGGUAAUGGGUAAAGAAGCAUCGGCUAACUACGUG
Molecule: ribosomal RNA, 468 nt
Filed under: uncultured bacterium
Lineage: Bacteria
Description: partial 16S ribosomal RNA
Rfam family: Bacterial small subunit ribosomal RNA
Source: RNAcentral